AGUGGCGGUCACAGUGACUCGGAAUUAACUCUCACGUCCGAGGGUAACUUGGAAUUUCCAGGCAUUACAUUAUUUUACACCGUCCAGCCUCUUUUUCCCCAAGGAAGGCAGGGUUUCAUUCUUGUUUAUUCCUCUCACUACUAAAAUCUCUGGUGCUCUUUGCACUUUGUGCUGGGUACCUUUAUUCAGACAGAUAGGCUUCCUAAAGCUGUGUUGGAGCAGGUACCAUGAAUGUGGAAUUGCCCUUUAGAUGGUCUCUCACUAAUACUUAGCAGAUAUUUUUAAGUAAAGGAGUAAUGGCUCUCAUCUAGAACACUUUAAAAGCCAACACUUGCUACUUUAUUUCUGUUUCCAGGAGUAGGUAGUGAUUUUCACUGAUCUUGAAAAGCAAAGACAUUUUUAUUUUUUUAAUCUAGAGAGCCUUUUUUUUUAAAUUACUACUUUUAAACUUAACAUAGGAAGUUUUACUAUACAUAGACAUAAACAUACUGUUGUAGUUUAGAGUAACUUCUAUAUCCCCCCCCCCACAGUUUUCAUCACCUUAAAGAUUUGGGAUGUUUUAAGAGACAAAGGAUAAACAUUAAAUCCACACCUAUAUGUGCCCAAGGAAAUCUCAUUUUUUAAAUGUUAAAGCUUGAAGUACCAGAUAAGGGUUAUUAAAUUUGCAUUAAUUUGCUAACUGACCAGUGAGGCAGUUGUGACCUUUCAGGUAGAGUGAUGGUCUCUUCAAAUGCCCAAAAGCCAGGUGUGGUGCCCACACACAUGUGAUCCCAGACUUCAGGAGGGUGCAGCAGGAGAGUAAGAGUUGAAGGUCAUCCUUGGGUACACUCUUGUUGAAGGCCAGUCUAGGCUACCUGCAGCCCUGUCUGCCCAUCCUGCUAAACACCAGCACUCCCCGUGCUUUCCGCACAGUAGAAAAGCUAUGUCAUGUGCAGGCUUACCGUUUCCAACCUUAGCUUUCCAAUGACAUACUAUUAACUCCAUUUUUCCUUAGUAGACCUACUAUCUCCUAAUAAUGAGCCCAUCUUUGAGGAAUUUAAGAGCUGCCAUUUCCUGAUGGAAAAGGCUGUGACCCUUGUGCUGUCUCCCCUUUGACUUUCUGUUCUGUGAACCAGAUGUCUUGACUCAAGCUUAUAAACCUUCCUUAAGCAGUGACAUUUGCCUUCUUAUUCAUACCGCCUUAAGAGGUGAGCUGUUCCUUCAUGCUUACGCACUGCCUUAGCACUGAAGUAUUUGCGUUAUCUCGUAUAGAAUUUUAUAGCCCAACUAAGAAAGCCUCUUUUAGGUCACCUUUGUGUCUUGUCCAUGGAGCUCCGGGGCACACCUAGUUCCACAUUCUUACAUAGUAACCUUCAUUUAAUCAAAAGUGUUUUUAUUAAUUGCCUGCUGCAUUUGAGGACUUGAAGCAAGAUAAGAGCAGCCAUGGCCUUCAAGUAUUCAUUUAUCUUAGGUUUUAAAUCAAUUUGCAUUUCUCAGUCAUAGUAUCAGUUUGCUUUUGAAAUGUCAGUACCCUGCUGUUUUGUGUUAGUUUGCAUGCCUAGAUUCUUCCAUGCUUGUAGCUAAUGGGUUACUCCCAUUUUUUAUUUCCCUAUCUUGAUUGCUUAUUUUUAUUUGAUCACUUUAAAACUUGAAUAUUAUAUAUAUAUAUAUAUAUACACACACACACAUACAUAUAUAUAUAUAUAUAUAUAUAUAUAUACAUGCGUGUAUGUUAUCAGAUUUGUUUUCUAAACUAUGAUAGUGGCUUUAUUUAGCCUUUGCUCUCACAGCUGAAUGCCUAGUAGCAAACAUGCUAUAAGGAUUUGGGGAUGACUUGGAAAUGUUCCUCAUUAGAUGUGGAUUCUUUUCACACCGUCAAUUUCUUUUCAAUUUGUGUAUUAUGUUAGACCGAGAAAUACAUGCAUUUCUUAGACUUCUAAGGCAGUUUCAUUCAUUUUAUUCAUACUACAAACCUAUGAAACUUAGAUAUAGCAUUUGAAUCUUUUAUGUUAAUGCUCCAUUAAUAUAAUCAUUUAAGUUCUAACUAUAUUGACUAAAAGAUGCUAGUUGAAUGAUGAUGAGACCUAGACAUAAGUGGCCAAGACAAUGAAUAUUGGCUGUGGGUCCCCAGGAUGCUUGUCUCUGCAUUACCCUGUCCAUCUCAUGGGUCAAGCAUUAAACAUCAGUUGAUAGAUAAAGAUAUCCUAAGAGAUGAAGCUCCAGGUAUUAAGUCUGUAACUUUAUAAGAAGAUUCAAACCCAGCUGAUAACCCUGUCAAAAAGCAUAGCCAGCAGUAUGUGGAUUACAGGAGAGUUUAGUGGACUUUUUGGUUGAAUAUUUAUGGUCUGGUUUCGUGUUAAACCUUGUGUAAGGUGAAGUGUGUGGUUUUAAUCGUUUCAAGGGAACAAUGUUAGGUAGCGCCAGAUUCUCAUUGAUAUGUACCCAUCACCACCAUCUGUCUGCAGAGAACCAUCUAUGUUGAAGCUGUACCCACUCAAUACAGCUCUUCCUAGUCCUUGGUAGCUACUAUUGGUACUUUCUGUCUCUGAAUUAUGACGUUUUUAGGCACCCCAUCAAGGUAAACCAUACAUAUUUGUCCAUUUGUGCCUGGCAUACUUAGUGUAUUUCACUUAAUACAAUAUUCAUAUUUUACUGUGUUUUAUUUCUUGUUGAGGUUGAAUAAAUGUCCCAGUUUAU
RNAcentral lists this long non-coding RNA (2676 nucleotides) under Mus musculus (house mouse). RNAcentral describes it as "long non-coding RNA chr9:52088857-52091533". The record is from RNAcentral. Lineage: Eukaryota; Metazoa; Chordata; Mammalia; Rodentia; Muridae.